UAAGUUUUAAGGUUAAGGGUAUUUUAAUAAUUUUCAUUCUCAAAAUAAAAAAAAAAACCCUAAUCCCUUAUCCACCUCUCUCAUUCCUCUCAACCUUUCUGUUUCAUCUCUUUCACUCUAACAUUUUCUUUGUCAUCUCUACUCUAGCCCUAAUUGAAAAAAAUAAAAACACUUGUCUUAUUUUAAUAAUUUUCAUUCUCAAAAUUAAAAAAAAAAAAAAGAAACCCCAAACCCUUACUCACCUCCUUCAUUCCUCUCAACCCUUUCUCCUUCAUCUCUCUCACUCAACACAUUUCCUCUGUCAUCUCUAC
RNAcentral lists this long non-coding RNA (311 nucleotides) under Vigna radiata. Its description in RNAcentral is "long non-coding RNA (VRAD_LNC001381)". Lineage: Eukaryota; Viridiplantae; Streptophyta; Magnoliopsida; Fabales; Fabaceae. The record is from RNAcentral.